RNAcentral lists this ribosomal RNA (432 nucleotides) under Triticum aestivum (bread wheat). RNAcentral describes it as "partial small subunit ribosomal RNA". The record is from RNAcentral. Lineage: Eukaryota; Viridiplantae; Streptophyta; Magnoliopsida; Poales; Poaceae.
AACUCCUUUCUUUUACCUUUUCAGGAGGUGUCUCAUUCUUCAGGCGACUCAUCACAAACACAAUUUCCGGCUUUCAAGACUUUCCUUGGCGGUCAGGCUAAAUCCAAGAAGGGAAAGGCAGCAAAACCAGUAGAAGACCCGCCAGUACUAGCAUCUGAACCGGCUAGGCCGCCUUCUCCAUUAACUGUUGCCCCAGAAGAUCCUCCUAUUGUUAAUGAAGCAAAUCCUCCGGAGCCGUCCCUUGACAAAGCCAUUAUAAAUCCUUCUAUGGCCGGACCGUCAAGCUCAACCGACCCGCCGUCUCCAUGUGUUCAAGAUGUUCAAAUUACUGGGAGCCUCUUUGUUGAGACGGGGAGUCCAACGGUGCUAGCCCGGUGCACAGCAAAUCAAGAAGCAUUGGAGAUGCAGAAGGUUCGCUUGGAUGUUGCCAAC